UGUUGUUCUUUAAGUUACGGCCUCUCUCCAAAGGGGGGGAAAGAUUACUCUUACCGUGGUAUCUGCCCUUGGUGGAAGAUAAAAAAAGGAAACUGGGGAUAUUUCUCCAUAAGUCAGGAGUACUGGAAUGUCUCCUAACUGAAAGUUGCGGCGCCAUAGGAUGAAUCUGCGGUCCAUCCCCGCUUUUUGUUGGGGUAACGGCCCAACAAGCCUGUAAUCGGUACGGGUUGUGGGAGCAAGAGCCCGGAGAAGAAAAAACCAAACACGAUUCCAGGCCCUACGGGGCGCUUCUCCCCUCUUUUUACUUUACGGGGGAGGCCCCCCCCCACCAAGGGAACCCCGAGUGCCCGUAAACGCGGGCUGUCCCGGUGUUUAAAACACAUUCUUAAGAAAGGGCCGGGCAAGACCGGUGCCAGCCGCCGCGGUAAUACCGGCGGCUCGAGUGGUGACCACUUUUAUUGGGCUUAAAGCGUUCGUAGCUUUGAUUUUUAAGUCUCUUGGGAAAUUCUUCACGGGUUAACUGGUGAGGCGGUCUAAGAAGAUCUGGGGAAUUUUAGGGACCGGGGAGAGGUUAAGAAGUUCUUUCAGGGGUAGAAGUGGAAUUUCUGUAUCCCUGGAGGGACCCCCGAUGGCGAAGGCUCCUUACAGAACGGGUUCCCACAGUUAUAGAAUUAAAUCUUGGGGAUACUACGGGAUUA
This 698-nucleotide ribosomal RNA is filed under the name uncultured archaeon. RNAcentral describes it as "partial 16S ribosomal RNA". It matches the Rfam family "Archaeal small subunit ribosomal RNA", at positions 37 to 731 of the family's 1478-position model. The record is from RNAcentral.